This 253-nucleotide ribosomal RNA is filed under the name uncultured bacterium. RNAcentral's name for it is "partial 16S ribosomal RNA". It matches the Rfam family "Bacterial small subunit ribosomal RNA", at positions 524 to 776 of the family's 1533-position model. The record is from RNAcentral.
UACGAAGGGGGCUAGCGUUGUUCGGAAUCACUGGGCGUAAAGGGCGCGUAGGCGGCUGUUCAAGUCGGGGGUGAAAUCCCGUGGCUCAACCACGGAAUGGCCUUCGAUACUGGACGGCUGGAGACCGGAAGAGGUGAGUGGAACUGCGAGUGUAGAGGUGAAAUUCGUAGAUAUUCGCAAGAACACCAGUGGCGAAGGCGGCUCACUGGUCCGGUUCUGACGCUGAGGCGCGAAAGCGUGGGGAGCAAACAGG